AUUGAACGCUGGCGGCAGGCCUAACACAUGCGAGUCGAGCGGAUGAAGGGAGCUUGCUCCUGGAUUCAGCGGCGGACGGGUGAGUAAUGCCUAGGAAUCUGCCUGGUAGUGGGGGAUAACGUCCGGAAACGGGCGCUAAUACCGCAUACGUCCUGAGGGAGAAAGUGGGGGAUCUCCGGACCUCACGCUAUCAGAUGAGCCUAGGUCGGAUUAGCUAGUUGGUGGGGUAAAGGCCUACCAAGGCGACGAUCCGUAACUGGUCUGAGAGGAUGAUCAGUCACACUGGAACUGAGACACGGUCCAGACUCCUACGGGAGGCAGCAGUGGGGAAUAUUGGACAAUGGGCGAAAGCCUGAUCCAGCCAUGCCGCGUGUGUGAAGAAGGUCUUCGGAUUGUAAAGCACUUUAAGUUGGGAGGAAGGGCAGUAAGUUAAUACCUUGCUGUUUUGACGUUACCAACAGAAUAAGCACCGGCUAACUUCGUG
This 484-nucleotide ribosomal RNA is filed under the name uncultured bacterium. Its description in RNAcentral is "partial 16S ribosomal RNA". It matches the Rfam family "Bacterial small subunit ribosomal RNA", at positions 30 to 507 of the family's 1533-position model. The record is from RNAcentral.